RNAcentral lists this ribosomal RNA (403 nucleotides) under uncultured bacterium. RNAcentral describes it as "partial 16S ribosomal RNA". It matches the Rfam family "Bacterial small subunit ribosomal RNA", at positions 28 to 526 of the family's 1533-position model. The record is from RNAcentral.
GACGAACGCUGGCGGCGUGCCUAAUACAUGCAAGUCGAACGCAGUGGGGACGGGUGAGUAACACGUGGGUAACCUCCCAUCAGAGGGGAUAACACUUGGAAACAGGUGCUAAACCGAUACUGAUGGAUGGACCCGCGGUGCAUUAGCUAGUUGGUGAGGUAACGGCUCACCAAGGCCACGAUGCAUAGGCGGCCUUGGGGGGGGAUCGGCCAAACUGGGAAUGAGAAACGGCCCAGAAUCCCACGGGAGGCAGCAGUAGGGAAUACUUCGCAAAGGACGAAAGUCUUACCGAGCCAAGCCGCGUGAGGGAAGAAGGUUUUCGGAUUGGUAAACCCUGGUGGUAGAGAAGCGGUAUUCAACCCGGAAGCCACGGCUAACUACGUGCCAGCAGCCGCGGUAAUAC